This 468-nucleotide ribosomal RNA is filed under the name uncultured bacterium. RNAcentral describes it as "partial 16S ribosomal RNA". It matches the Rfam family "Bacterial small subunit ribosomal RNA", at positions 28 to 507 of the family's 1533-position model. The record is from RNAcentral.
GACGAACGCUGGCGGCGUGCUUAACACAUGCAAGUCGAACGGAAAGGCCCUGCUUUUGUGGGGUGCUCGAGUGGCGAACGGGUGAGUAACACGUGAGUAACCUGCCCUUGACUUUGGGAUAACUUCAGGAAACUGGGGCUACUACCGGAUAGGAGCUCCUGCUGCAUGGUGGGGGUUGGAAAGUUUCGGCGGUUGGGGAUGGACUCGCGGCUUAUCAGCUUGUUGGUGGGGUAGUGGCUUACCAAGGCUUUGACGGGUAGCCGGCCUGAGAGGGUGACCGGCCACAUUGGGACUGAGAUACGGCCCAGACUCCUACGGGGGGCAGCAGGGGGGAAUAUUGCACAAUGGGCGGAAGCCUGAUGCAGCAACGCCGCGUGCGGGAUGACGGCCUUCGGGUUGUAAACCGCUUUCGCCUGUGACGAAGCGUGAGUGACGGUAAUGGGUAAAGAAGCACCGGCUAACUACGUG